GGGACUGUGGCUCAGUGGCAGAGCGCUCACCUGGUAUGUGAGAGGCACUGGGCUCAGUCCUC
This 62-nucleotide transfer RNA is filed under the name Marmota marmota marmota (Alpine marmot). It matches the Rfam family "tRNA". From Rfam's summary of the family: Transfer RNA (tRNA) molecules are approximately 80 nucleotides in length. Their secondary structure includes four short double-helical elements and three loops (D, anti-codon, and T loops). The record is from Rfam by way of RNAcentral. RNAcentral also lists the same sequence under 3 other names. Lineage: Eukaryota; Metazoa; Chordata; Mammalia; Rodentia; Sciuridae.